This 80-nucleotide small RNA is filed under the name Flavobacterium noncentrifugens. RNAcentral describes it as "Flavo-1 RNA". It matches the Rfam family "Flavo-1 RNA". The record is from RNAcentral. Lineage: Bacteria; Pseudomonadati; Bacteroidota; Flavobacteriia; Flavobacteriales; Flavobacteriaceae.
GGUUUGCGUGAGCGAUUGUAGUGAAAAUCCUUUUGCGGAGUUUACGAAGCAAAAGAUUGCAACGGAAAGCGCGGCCCGCA